AGUUUGUUCUCUAACAGGACAUGAGAGGAUUAUUUUCAGACUCAACCUCCUUCAAUAUUGCCAUAGACAUGUUGUUUAUGAAAGGAUUAAAUGAGAGUAGGUGGCAUCCUUUUACUAUUAGAAGGCAGACACAUUAAACUAUAAAGGUAAAUUUUUUAGAUGACUGAUCUUUGUCAUCACUAAACAAUGUCUAUAAUACUAGGUUCUCUGAAUGUACUAAGAGACAUCUCUCUCUCUCUCUCUCUCUCUCUCUCUCUGGCAUACAAAUGUGUUUAAAUAUAUUUUAUUCUCCUUCCAGAGUGAUGUUGAAAAAGCACAAUCUAUGUUCAGUCAGAUUAUGAGCACUGACAGCAGAAUAUGUCAAAAUCUCAAAGUGCUGAUUGGCUAUGGCAGGAGCUGUGAAAGAAUCACUCUCUGUCUUGACCUUAGCAUUGGGAUCCAGCAGCCCUGCAUUUAUAAAGAAGCCUGAAUUCGCAGAAGGAAGUGGUGGACUUAGUGCGUCUUCAGAGCGAGGACAGCCCUCUGAUGGCGAGCGUGGAGCAGGCAGUGUCCCACCUCCAGCAGGCAGGUCAGGUGACCCAACGAAACCUGGACAAGAUGUUGUGUCAUACCCCCAUGGGGAAGAAGAGGGUGCCCAUGGGGAUAAUGGACGAGAGAAUGAUCAGCCAGAGGACUCUGAGGCCUCUGCAGU
Molecule: long non-coding RNA, 691 nt
Filed under: Oncorhynchus kisutch (coho salmon)
Lineage: Eukaryota; Metazoa; Chordata; Actinopteri; Salmoniformes; Salmonidae
Description: lncRNA (ENSOKIG00005028826.1)
Source: RNAcentral